UUUUUUUCAUGCCAAUUAUAGUUAUUUAAGAUAAAUAUAAUCUAUAAUCCAAUAGAAAGAUUUAACUAUUAAAUG
Molecule: ribosomal RNA, 75 nt
Filed under: Ditylum brightwellii
Lineage: Eukaryota; Bacillariophyta; Thalassiosirophyceae; Lithodesmiales; Lithodesmiaceae
Description: partial Trypanosomatid mitochondrial large subunit ribosomal RNA
Source: RNAcentral